CCUACAAUCACCCAUGCUGGCAUGGUGAGGAGAUGCAGAGUAUCUUUCUGUGCCAAGAAAGAGGGCUUCUACCACAGGUGCCUCAGAAGAAACCAAGAAGCAGUUAAGAAGCUGUCUGGUGCUCAGAGAAGGUUACAGAGAUGGUGGAAGAGCAACUGAUGUCACCUACCUGGAUUUGUGCAAGGCAUUUGACACUGUCCCACAUGACAUCCUGGUCUCCAAACUGACAAGGCAUGGAUUUGACAGAUGGAACACUCAGUGGAUAAGAGAUUGGCUGGAUGCCUGCACCCAGGGAGUUGUGGUCAAUGGCUCACUGUCCAA
This is a long non-coding RNA of Apus apus (common swift), 321 nucleotides long. RefSeq lists it as uncharacterized. NCBI's taxonomy places the organism in Eukaryota, Metazoa, Chordata, Aves, Apodiformes, Apodidae. The record is from RefSeq and is a predicted model, not a curated record. The transcript is spliced from 3 exons.